CCCUUAGAUGUCCUGGGCCGCACGCGCGCUACACUGAGUGUCUGAGAUACGAGUCUGCCUGGUCCGGCAAGGUCUAGGUAAUCGCUAAAAGACACAUCAUGCUUGGGAUAGAUUAUUGCAAAUAUUAAUCUUGAACGAGGAAUUCCUAGCAAGCGCAAGUCAACAGCUUGCGUUGAUUACGUCCCUGCCCUUUGUACACACCGCCCGUCGCUACUACUGAUUGGAUGUUUAAGCGAGGUUCUCGAACUGCUAGCGACUUAGCUUCGGUGAGGUCGCAGUGUGGGAAGUGAACCUAGCUUUGGUGUCUAGAGGAAGUAAAAGUCGUAACA
This 329-nucleotide ribosomal RNA is filed under the name uncultured eukaryote. RNAcentral describes it as "partial 18S ribosomal RNA". It matches the Rfam family "Eukaryotic small subunit ribosomal RNA", at positions 1470 to 1796 of the family's 1831-position model. The record is from RNAcentral.